This 2087-nucleotide unclassified non-coding RNA is filed under the name Penaeus monodon (black tiger shrimp). RNAcentral's name for it is "vacuolar protein sorting-associated protein 26C-like, transcript variant X2". The record is from RNAcentral. Lineage: Eukaryota; Metazoa; Arthropoda; Malacostraca; Decapoda; Penaeidae.
AAACGUUGGGGGGCGUUCGAGGCUGUCACGGGAGGCGGAGGACACGGCACCAAAGUGACACUUGAUAGAUAUGUCUCUCACGGUGGAAAUACGGCUAAAGAGGCCAAGCCGGAUAUACCACGAGGGUGAUAUUGUCAGUGGUCUCUUAGUCCUUGACAGCAAAUCAGAGAUUCGGCACGAUGGCAUUACCCUGACAAUGGAAGGUGUAAUAAGCUUACAACUGUCCCCAAAGAGUGCAGGUUUAAUCGAGUCUAUUGUCAACUCAUCCAAGCCAAUCAGUAUCAUAAACACUGUAAUAGAGGUGGCAAAAUCAGGCAAAAUCCCAUCUGGCCAGACAGAAAUACCCUUUGAGCUCCCCCUAAAGGUUCGAGGCUCGAAGACUCUCUAUGAGACUUACCAUGGGGUGUACAUAACAAUACAGUACUUCUUAAGGUGUGAUAUUAAGAGGAGCCUGUUAGCGAAAGAUGUUACAAAGGCACAGGAGUUCAUUGUAGAGUACAAGCAAGGCGUAGGAGAGGUAGCCCAGCCAGGCUUGAUAAACUUUGAAAUGAGGCCUGAGACUCUGCCGAAUGUAAGAGACCGAGCCCGCAUCCCAAAGUUUCUGGUGCGAGGACACCUAGACUCGGAAGUGUUCUCGCUUUCCAAACCACUGACUGGAGAACUCACCGUGUGCGAGUGUGAGAGAGGAAUUAGCAGCAUUGAGCUCCAGCUUGUCCGAGUAGAAACGUGUGGAUCAGCCGAAGGAAACACAAGAGAAACAACAGAAAUUCAGAACAUCCAGAUUGGAGAAGGUGAUGUAUGUCGAGGAAUCGCCAUACCCAUUUACAUGGUCUUUCCAAGAUUAUUUACUUGCGCGACAACUGUUGCCCCCAAUUUUAAAAUAGAAUUUGAACUGAACAUUGUCAUUAUAUUUGACAAUGAUCAUCUAGUUGUUGAAACUUUUCCCAUUAAACUUACACGUCACUGAGGCACAGAGGAUCAUUUUUACCUGGUAUGUUGAAAGGCUUAUAUACGAAUAGCUAAACAUUUUGCCAAAGUAAUUUCAUAAUUUGAUGUUAUACUGAUCUUGUUUAUCAUUGGAACACUGCCGUUCAGAAUUGAGGAGGUGCACUCUUUUGGACUUUGCCAUGCCUACCUGAUUAAAUGUAAAUUAAAUGCUAAAACAUGUGAUGUGGUCUAGCUUAGGGGUAGGAACCCCCCCCCUCCAUACACAAGUAUAUAUCCUUUUAAUUUUCAAGUGUUUUUACAUGUUGAUUGAGGAGUUUGAUUAGUUUAUUGUACACAUUCCACUUUAAAUUGGUUAUGUAAUGGAUAAUGAUGUAGUAAUUUGGGUCAUUAUUUUAGUGGGGUAGAAACAAGAAUUAUCUGUAUAGGUAAAUGUAUUUUUUAUAUUUCAAAAUUAUCCCAUAUAUAUAUAUUUAUAUAUGUAAAAGUACUUUAUAUUUACUGUACUGUGUAUUUCUUUGAGAAAAAAUUAGUUCAGCGCAAUUAUGAUUGAAGAAAAAAUACAGAUGAAUAAAUUUGAAGGAAAAAUACUUUUUGUAAAAAUUGGUGAUUAUCAUAUGUACCCAAAUGAACUGUGAUAUAAUAUGCACUAAGCAUAAGAUAUGUUAAUAUAUGAAUUCAAGACGGGGAGAUAUUUGCCAAAAUAAAGAAAUAAUUUUUUCCCCCAAUUUUCCUUACCUAUAAUUUCCAGUCAUUUGCUUUGGAAACUUUAAGGCAGAUACUAUAUUUUUCAUUUUAUUUUUCACUCAGGUUUUACAAUUUUCUCUUAUAUGUAGGAAUAUAAAAGUACCAUUCAUAAUAUACAGUGCCACAGUAUAAUGCAGAAAUAUAAUGUAUCUUAUUACAUUCCAAGCAACCAGAUCCUAUUAUGAGUGUAGUACUAUUGAUACAGAUAAACCUACUAGUGUAAUUAGAUCAAAACAAGACUAACAUGCAAACAAUACUUCAGUAUAAGUAUUAUAGACCACAAUUUAUAUCACCUUUGUGAAAACUAUGUACAAAAGUAUUUGCCAAUAAAAAUAAAACCUUUUUUGUAUAAAUUCAGGUACAAGAGUAUAGCUACAAAUAAAUUUGACUCCUUA